AUGUUUUAUCAUAGAGACAUCAGAAAGCCUGAUGACGGUGAGACUGUUGAAGCUGUGGUUGUUCUCAGGUUAGUUAGAAUACCUCUACUACAUCUCUAUAGUCUACUCUGUCCUGGAUCAGUUUGCCUUGCUCUUCCUUUUAGUCAUGCUCAUCAUAAUCUCACUUUUAGUGACCAAGGAGGUGAGCCAGGAGAGGAGAGCAGGCAGCCCAUGGACAAUGAAGAGACAGGCGCUGACAACCCUCUGCUGAAUGGAGAUGCCAGUGGCCAAGGAGAGGAAGGUGUUCUAGGAAUGGAGGAUGGAAAGCUGUCAGACAAGGACAGAGCAGACACUGAAAUCUGUCAGAAGACACAUGCUGAUUCCCCUCCACUGAAUGUACCCAAGGUUGUCAGGGUUAACAGCCAGACUGAUGACACACAGCUUCUUGGUCAACCUCAGAGCAAUGGACAUGUGCCAUAUAGAAGGGUUAACGAUGAGACUAAGGAAGCAACUCCUGGUGCACAGAGUCCAGGACCUCCUCAGAUGAAUGGAGGUCCUCCCAUGUCUGACAGGUGAUAUUGUAACUAUUGCUAAAGUAACACUGUUCUGAGCUUUUUCUCCACUGUAUUUGAAUUGAAGGUACAGGAUUGUAUAAUAACCAUGUUUUUACCCAUGUUUCCUGAACCAGCCUGUCUUACUGUGUUCUGUGUCUAAGGUUGGAGAACAACCCUGUUGGUCAGCGCAUGAAGAAAACUGCUCUGGUGAACAAGCAGGACCAGGACUGGUCAGCAACGGCAUGUAGCCAGUUGAAAAUAUAUAGUAUAUAAGAUGAAACUAAGUGUAAAUAUAACAUUAUAUACACUGUAAUAUAGAACAGUAUAAUAUGACAUGAUAUACACUGUAAUAUAGAACAGUAUAAAAUAACAUGAUAUACACUGUAAUAUAAAACAGUAUAAUAUAAUAUGACAUGAUAUACACUGUAAUAUAGAACAGUAUAAUAUGACAUGAUAUACACUGUAAUAUAGAACAGUAUAAUAUGACAUGAUAUACACUGUAAUAUAGAACAGUAUAAUAUGACAUUAUAUACACUGUAAUAUAGAACAGUAUAAUAUGACAUGAUAUACACUGUAAUAUAGAACAGUAUAAUAUGACAG
This 1133-nucleotide long non-coding RNA is filed under the name Oncorhynchus mykiss (rainbow trout). Its description in RNAcentral is "lncRNA (ENSOMYG00000076946.1)". Lineage: Eukaryota; Metazoa; Chordata; Actinopteri; Salmoniformes; Salmonidae. The record is from RNAcentral.